UGCUUAGAGUUUCAUUGUUCGGCGUGUGGGCAAGCGUGCACCUAUCCCUUCUCACCGCUCAUUUUCCGUCUUCACACAGGUACAGUGGGCGCAGUGGAAAGCAGCAGGCUCCGCGCUCGGUCGGUGGGCUCUCUGCUCGCAGCACACCGCCACCUCAACUUCUGUUGCUGCUCGGCAGUCAUGGACGCUGCAAUGGACAGCGAGGGCUCCACUCCGGAACACGUGGCAGCUUCGUGCCACGCUAACCCAGCCGUCUCAGCCUCCUUGCCACGCUUGGCGGCGACGGUGGUAGGGCAGUCGGUGCAGGACAGCUACGAGGCAGAGUUAUACAGAUUCAAGAGCACCAAGAGCCGUGCGUUUCUGCAGGAUCGCCAGGCAUACACUACAAACCUUCCGCGACUCUUGCCGGAGGGCAUUCCGUACACUGCCAACUUCGUCUCCUUCGACCACCUGCGCGAGUGCGGGGCGCUGAGCGAGAUGCACCAGAACGAGGUGAGCAUCACCACCGACGAUUUGCGACUUCUCUACGAGGCUCGGUGUCUAGACCAGGGCCUCCCCCCUUCGUGGCAGCGCGAGAUGCGCUUCAUGGAACUCGUCAGCGCGAAAUGCAAAGGCCGAUUUUUUUGCUUGCCGGAGAACGGGUUCGGCGUUUGCUCUGCUGAAGCGCUGGCGGCAGUUCUCUCUCGCAACAGUCACUACAGUGUUCUUGAUCUUUCUGGCAACUGCCUGCGAGACGACGGCGCGCGCUUCAUCGCACAGCUCAUCAAGCGGAACCGUACUCUUGUCCAUAUUGAUGUAGCCUCAAAUGAUAUCGGGCACGUGGGUGGGGUACUCAUAGCUCGAGCCCUUCUCGAGAACAACACGGUCAUCUCGCUGGACAUUGGCGCGCGCGCUGGGGUCAACGGGAACCACAUCGGUACUCCUGGCGCAGAGGCUAUUGGAGAGGUACUGCGGUGUAAUGAGGUACUCGCCAGACUCAACGUCAGCAGCAACGGUCUCGGCGCCGGCGGCGUGGCCUUCAUCGCGUCCGCUCUCGAGCGUAACGGCUCCCUCACGCGCCUCAAUCUCUCGAGCAACAACCUAGGCCUUGAAGGGGCCCGCGUCCUCGCAUCGGCGUUGGAGGCGGCACACGUGACGCACUGGGAGCUUCAACGCAAUCAUCUGGACGAUAAGGGCGGUGCGUGCUUUCUCAACGCGCUAGCAGGGGCGAUUCGGAACGGACAUGACGUUGUGGAGUACCUGGACUUGGACAACAACGCCCUUGGCGAGGGCUGUGCCGACGCUGCUGGCAAGGUGCUGGCUGUUUCCGCCUCCCUAACCACCUUGCGGCUGUGUGGCAACCCUCUUGGCGCUGGGGUGAAGGCGAUCAGCACGGGCCUAAACGAAAAUCAUAGUCUGAACUCCCUUUAUCUUUCCAAGUGCUCCAUUGAUCACAUCGGCGCCGCGGCACUUGGCGCCGUCCUCUGCGUGAACCACACACUUCGCCACCUGGACAUGAGCAACAACCGUGUCAAGGAUGGCGGUGCUGUGGAGUUGGCGAAGGGACUGGCAGUGAACAAAUGCCUCACAACAUGGAACCUGUCGUCCAACCGCAUCGGUCACGCUGGCGGGCUGGAGAUGGCGAAGGCAGUACAGAAAAACCGAACUCUGCGUCACCUCAACCUGCGCCGCAACUUGAUGCUGGAGGCGACGGGUGAGGCUAUCAGCGAUAGCUUUCGUUCUAACAAUACACUUGAGCGACUCGACGUGGCGUACAAUGACUUUUCUUACGCGUGCGCAAUGUCGAUCGAGCGUGCGUUGGAGCGCAACAGGGCAUCAAACAAGACGCUGCUCGUUCCGAAGCUGCAGGCAAACAUUGAUGCCCUGGCACCGAAGGAGAACGAGCUGGAGCGCGCUGAGGAGGAUAUCGAGGUGGAAAAGCGUAUGGCACGCGACCGUGGCGAGGACCUGAUGCGGCGCGGUGAGGAGGCGCGUGUCGUGUCAGAGAAGCUUCGACGCGAGAUUGCGGAUCUGGAGCGCGUGUUCGAGAAAGCCAGCACCGCCAGCGACGCCGCAGAGAACCUAUUCCGACUGACCGAGGACCGCGUCACGAACAAUCUGACAGAGCUGAAGAUGAAGCGGACCAACAUGGACGCCCGCAUCCAGCAGGAGAAGGACCGCACUGAUCGCCUGAACCGCGAGGUAGAGAAAAUCCGGCGUCAAAUCAAGCACCUCGAGGAGGCCGAGAACGAGCGGCUGGCGCCGCUUCUGCGUGACCUGGAUGGGAUGGAGAGAGACCGCACACAGGAAAUGGCCGACGCGAAGUUUGAGGGGGAGAAGCUCGCUGCACUGGAACUUCGACGAAAGGAGCUUCAGAUCGCUGCGGGUAGACGCGCCAACAAGAAGAAGUGAAUGCGAAUGUGCGCAGAUUGUUUCGUCCCCCCCUUCCCCUCCCCGUCCUACUCGCCUUUCUCAUGCCCAACGGUGAAGCCUGUUUCUUUCACACACAUGUAUAGUACCUUCUUUUCUUGCUCUUUUCUUUCCCCCGCGCACGGGUGCACCAUGCGAUGUGUUCAGGUGUCCCCGCACGUGCGCGUGUCAGUAUGUUGCUUUGAUUCUUGGAUGAAUGUGCAGCAAGCGUGUCAUGCGGGCACAGAGG
This 2638-nucleotide unclassified non-coding RNA is filed under the name Leishmania donovani. RNAcentral's name for it is "gene:LdHU3.29.4260(CDS-product:ribonuclease_inhib itor-like_protein)". The record is from RNAcentral. Lineage: Eukaryota; Euglenozoa; Kinetoplastea; Trypanosomatida; Trypanosomatidae.